This 88-nucleotide ribosomal RNA is filed under the name Chinchilla lanigera (long-tailed chinchilla). The record is from RNAcentral. Lineage: Eukaryota; Metazoa; Chordata; Mammalia; Rodentia; Chinchillidae.
GUCUACGACCAUACCACCCUGAACGUGCCCGAUAUUGUUCAAUCUCAGAAGCUAAGCCUGGUUAGUGCUUGGAUGGGAGUAAUAGUCA